UGGGGAAUAUUGGACAAUGGGCGAAAGCCUGAUCCAGCCAUGCCGCGUGUGUGAAGAAGGUCUUCGGAUUGUAAAGCACUUUAAGUUGGGAGGAAGGGCAUUAACCUAAUACGUUAGUGUUUUGACGUUACCGACAGAAUAAGCACCGGCUAACUCUGUGCCAGCAGCCGCGGUAAUACAGAGGGUGCAAGCGUUAAUCGGAAUUACUGGGCGUAAAGCGCGCGUAGGUGGUUUGUUAAGUUGGAUGUGAAAUCCCCGGGCUCAACCUGGGAACUGCAUUCAAAACUGACUGACUAGAGUAUGGUAGAGGGUGGUGGAAUUUCCUGUGUAGCGGUGAAAUGCGUAGAUAUAGGAAGGAACACCAGUGGCGAAGGCGACCACCUGGACUAAUACUGACACUGAGGUGCGAAAGCGUGGGGAGC
RNAcentral lists this ribosomal RNA (422 nucleotides) under uncultured bacterium. Its description in RNAcentral is "partial 16S ribosomal RNA". It matches the Rfam family "Bacterial small subunit ribosomal RNA", at positions 355 to 769 of the family's 1533-position model. The record is from RNAcentral.